AUGUGUCACACGGGACGUGCCGGUCUUAAGCCGGAGGAAGGUGGGGAGUGAUGUCAAGUCAGCAUGGCCUUUAUAUCCUGGGCUACACACACGCUACAAUGGCCAACACAAUAGGUUGCUAAGCCGCGAGGUGGCGCCAAUCCAUAAAGUUGGUCUCAGUUCAGAUUGUAGGCUGCAACCCGCCUGCAUGAAGAUGGAGUUGCUAGUAACCGCAGGUCAGCUAUACUGCGGUGAAUACGUUCCCGGGCUU
Molecule: ribosomal RNA, 250 nt
Filed under: uncultured Leptolinea sp.
Lineage: Bacteria; Bacillati; Chloroflexota; Anaerolineae; Anaerolineales; Anaerolineaceae
Description: partial 16S ribosomal RNA
Rfam family: Bacterial small subunit ribosomal RNA
Source: RNAcentral